Molecule: transfer RNA, 82 nt
Filed under: Collybia nuda
Lineage: Eukaryota; Fungi; Basidiomycota; Agaricomycetes; Agaricales; Clitocybaceae
Description: Lepista nuda tRNA
Rfam family: tRNA
About the family: Transfer RNA (tRNA) molecules are approximately 80 nucleotides in length.
Source: Rfam by way of RNAcentral
GCCGCGUUGGCGUAGUGGUAGCGCGUCUCACUUGUACUGCACGUGCAUGAGAAGGUCACUCGUUCAAUCCGGGUACGUGGCA